Molecule: ribosomal RNA, 457 nt
Filed under: uncultured bacterium
Lineage: Bacteria
Description: partial 16S ribosomal RNA
Rfam family: Bacterial small subunit ribosomal RNA
Source: RNAcentral
CCUACGGGGGGCAGCAGUGGGGAAUAUUGCACAAUGGGGGAAACCCUGAUGCAGCGACGCCGCGUGAGUGAAGAAGUAAUUCGUUACGUAAAGCUCUAUCAGCAGGGAAGAAACACUGACCUUACGGUCAGCAGACGGUACCUGAAGAAACAGCAUCGGCUAACUCCGUGCCAGCAGCCGCGGUAAUACGGAGGAUGCGAGCGUUAUCCGGUUUUAUUGGGUUUAACGGGUGCGUAGGCGGAAUAUCAAGUCAGCGGUAAAAAUUCGGGGCUCAACCCCGUCGUGCCGUUGAAACUGAUGUUCUUGAGUGGGCGAGAAGUAUGCGGAAUGCGUGGUGUAGCGGUGAAAUGCAUAGAUAUCACGCAGAACUCCGAUUGCGAAGGCAGCAUACCGGCGCCCAACUGACGCUGAAGCACGAAAGCGUGGGUAUCGAACAGGAUUAGAUACCCUUGUAGUC